AUAAAUAAUAACUAAUAACUAGAAAGUGAAAAUUUCUGAAGAAAUUUUAAGUGUGCCUAUGCCGCCGCUAAUCAGUAUAGUUUGCCAUUCAAACGGCUACAGAGAGCAAAACUCACCGGAGCAGCCAUUCUCCACCAUGAACUAUGGUAAAACCAAACACCGCUCGCGCCUCACAGAUGACAGCUUACAGUUUUGUGUAAAGAUGAGGUGACUUCGUACAGCCCCAAUUUGUAGACGCUGUGCGCAGAGGUUCAUAAGCAGACCCGACAAUGUUUGCAUGAACACACUUUGAAGCAUUACGUUAUGGACCACUUUUCACACAUAGUUGCUGUACCCACACAGCCGGCUGUAGCUUUUCAUCUCAUAGCCCGACACAUACACAAAAAAAAAAAAAAAAAAAAAAAAAAAAAAAAAAAAGCAGAGAGAGCACAGACUUUACACCUGAGAGGCGUGAUUGCAGAUGCCGCUGAGGUGGGUCCACCUCCCCUGCAGCGGCACUGCAGACCACGCCCUGCCACACACAUCAAACACGUAAAAUAAAUAUUUAUGCACUUUUCAUUCACUUUUUGUUUUUUGUUAUUUUUACACAGUGUUCUGAAUGAUUAACAAUGGUCUACAGCCAAUCUUGUGUAUUAUUAUACAAACUUUGAGGACAAAUGGUCAAAAUUGCUAAAAUUUACAACAUAUAUGCAGCUCAACAGCGACACCUUGUGACUUAUUCCAGUCACUACCUUACAUAUACAUAACGUCUUACCUGACAUUCAGUUCACCGGACACUCAUACUGAAUCACCAGCCCAUAUAAAUGAAAAAUAAGUCCAGCAGCCAACCAAGAGUCAUCACGAAAGACUAGGGGUGACACGACAGCGUGAGCGGGCCUGGGUGUCAGCCAGACCAGCCUGGGUGUCAGCCAGCCCAGCCUGGGUGGCAGCCAAGCCGCGCUAGCCAGCUAGCCGCCAUGCGGCGGUGAAACGAGAGCGUGAGCCGGCCUGGGUAUCAGUCAGCCCGGCCUAGGUGUCAGCCAAGCCGCCCUAGCCAGCUAGCUGCCAUGCGGCGCUAGCAGUAACAUCGUGAGAGAUAUGGGACUUCUUGAUAAAAU
Long non-coding RNA from Astatotilapia calliptera (eastern happy), 1097 nucleotides. The record is from Ensembl. NCBI's taxonomy places the organism in Eukaryota, Metazoa, Chordata, Actinopteri, Cichliformes, Cichlidae.